CAGGUGAUUCUGGAGCUGCAGUUGCUUGUCCCUUUUGUAUAUUAGAGAAACGAAUAGCUAGAUAUUUUUUCGUCCUGAGGUUUUGGAUGGAAAUAAUAAGUACCAAGUACGAGAAUGAUAGCAAAGAAUCAAAUGUAAAUUCUUCAAGCACCAAA
Capsicum annuum is the source of this 155-nucleotide long non-coding RNA. RefSeq lists it as uncharacterized. NCBI's taxonomy places the organism in Eukaryota, Viridiplantae, Streptophyta, Magnoliopsida, Solanales, Solanaceae. The record is from RefSeq and is a predicted model, not a curated record. The transcript is spliced from 3 exons.